Molecule: ribosomal RNA, 495 nt
Filed under: uncultured bacterium
Lineage: Bacteria
Description: partial 16S ribosomal RNA
Rfam family: Bacterial small subunit ribosomal RNA
Source: RNAcentral
GAUGAACGCUGGCGGCGUGCCUAAUACAUGCAAGUAGAACGCUGAAGGAGGAGCUUGCUCUUCUGGAUGAGUUGCGAACGGGUGAGUAACGCGUAGGUAACCUGCCUGGUAGCGGGGGAUAACUAUUGGAAACGAUAGCUAAUACCGCAUGACAACAGUUAUUGCAUGAUAACUGUUUAAAAGGGGCAACUGCUCCACUACCAGAUGGACCUGCGUUGUAUUAGCUAGUUGGUGAGGUAACGGCUCACCAAGGCGACGAUACAUAGCCGACCUGAGAGGGUGGUCGGCCACACUGGGACUGAGACACGGCCCAGACUCCUACGGGAGGCAGCAGUAGGGAAUCUUCGGCAAUGGACGGAAGUCUGACCGAGCAACGCCGCGGGAGUGAAGAAGGUUUUCGGAUCGUAAAGCUCUGUUGUAAGAGAAGAACGAGUGUGAGAGUGGAAAGUUCACACUGUGACGGUAUCUUACCAGAAAGGGACGGCUAACUACGUG